Molecule: ribosomal RNA, 460 nt
Filed under: uncultured bacterium
Lineage: Bacteria
Description: partial 16S ribosomal RNA
Rfam family: Bacterial small subunit ribosomal RNA
Source: RNAcentral
CCUACGGGAGGCAGCAGUGAGGAAUAUUGGUCAAUGGACGCAAGUCUGAACCAGCCAUGCCGCGUGCAGGAAGACGGCUCUAUGAGUUGUAAACUGCUUUUGUACGAGGGUAAACGCAGAUACGCGUAUCUGUCUGAAAGUAUCGUACGAAUAAGGAUCGGCUAACUCCGUGCCAGCAGCCGCGGUAAUACGGAGGAUUCAAGCGUUAUCCGGAUUUAUUGGGUUUAAAGGGUGCGUAGGCGGUGGGAUAAGUUAGAGGUGAAAUCCCGAGGCUCAACUUCGGAAUUGCCUCUGAUACUUUUCGACUAGAGAGGAGUUGCGGUAGGCGGAAUGUAUGGUGUAGCGGUGAAAUGCUUAGAGAUCAUACAGAACACCGAUUGCGAAGGCAGCUUACCAAGCUACUUCUGACGUUGAGGCACGAAAGCGUGGGGAGCAAACAGGAUUAGAUACCCUGGUAGUC